UACAGAGGUGGCAAGCGUUGUUCGGAAUUAUUGGGCGUAAAGAGCUCGUAGGCGGUGUGUCGCGUCGGCCGUGAAAACCUGCAGCUUAACUGUGGGCUUGCGGUCGAUACGGGCAUCACUGGAGUUCGGCAGGGGAGACUGGAAUUCCUGGUGUAGCGGUGAAAUGCGCAGAUAUCAGGAGGAACACCGGUGGCGAAGGCGGGUCUCUGGGCCGAUACUGACGCUGAGGAGCGAAAGCGUGGGGAGCGAACAGG
RNAcentral lists this ribosomal RNA (254 nucleotides) under uncultured bacterium. Its description in RNAcentral is "partial 16S ribosomal RNA". It matches the Rfam family "Bacterial small subunit ribosomal RNA", at positions 524 to 776 of the family's 1533-position model. The record is from RNAcentral.